This 482-nucleotide ribosomal RNA is filed under the name uncultured bacterium. RNAcentral describes it as "partial 16S ribosomal RNA". It matches the Rfam family "Bacterial small subunit ribosomal RNA", at positions 28 to 507 of the family's 1533-position model. The record is from RNAcentral.
GAUGAACGCUCGCGGCAGGCCUAAUACAUGCAAGUCGGACGGGAUUCAGGAGCUUGCUUCUGAUGAGAGUGGCGCACGGGUGCGUAACACGUAUGUAACCUACCUUUAUCAGGGGGAUAGCCUCUCGAAAGAGAGAUUAAGCCCGCAUAAAAUCACAGCACAGCAUUGUGUAAUGAUCAAAUAUUUAUAGGAUCAAGAUGGGCAUGCGGAACAUUAGCUAGAUGGCGGGGUAACGGCCCACCAUGGCGACGAUGUUUAGGGGAUCUGAGAGGAUGGCCCCCCACACUGGUACUGAGACACGGACCAGACUCCUACGGGAGGCAGCAGUAAGGAAUAUUGGUCAAUGGGCGGAAGCCUGAACCAGCCAUGCCGCGUGCAGGAAGACGGCCCUACGGGUUGUAAACUGCUUUUAUACGGGAAUAAACCCAGAUACGUGUAUCUGGCUGAAUGUACUGGAAGAAUAAGGAUCGGCUAACUCCGUG